Molecule: transfer RNA, 73 nt
Filed under: Rikenellaceae bacterium
Lineage: Bacteria; Pseudomonadati; Bacteroidota; Bacteroidia; Bacteroidales; Rikenellaceae
Also listed under: 1 other name
Description: tRNA-Pro
Rfam family: tRNA
About the family: Transfer RNA (tRNA) molecules are approximately 80 nucleotides in length.
Source: RNAcentral
CGGGAAGUGGCGCAGUUGGUAGCGCACGCGUCUGGGGGGCGCGGGGUCGCAAGUUCGAGUCUUGUCUUCCCGA